Molecule: RNA transcript, 3316 nt
Organism: Colias croceus (clouded yellow)
Lineage: Eukaryota; Metazoa; Arthropoda; Insecta; Lepidoptera; Pieridae
Gene name: UDP-N-acetylglucosamine--peptide N-acetylglucosaminyltransferase 110 kDa subunit-like
Exons: 9
Source: RefSeq, a predicted model, not a curated record
GCAGCAGUCGUGCCCAGCGCCCGCCGCGUCUAGCCGCCUCCACUUACAAUCGAUAUUCGCGAACACGCUUUUAUUAACACGUAAACAUUUGACGACUGUUUAAAAGUUUUACAGCGUACCUACAUGAUUGAAAUACAUCAUGUCUUCCACAUUGUGACAGCAUAAAAUUUAAAUGGCUCGAGCGGCUGACGCUCUUUUUAACUUUCAAACUAAUAUUUGAAUUUCGCAUAAGUUUUAGAACAUUAAUGACGUACGCAUCCCCAGACAAUGGCGGGCUUGUGUUUAAUUUUGAAUUAGAAUUUUUAUAUUAGCUUGAAUACAUAAUUAUCUUAUUUAAUAUUCACGUUUAAAUAAGUUUAAAAUAAUAAUUAAAUCACACGAAAAAAAAAUCUGAAUUUUCAAAAUUACUCCUCAAAAUGACGUAUUUUCAAGACAAAUUUGAUUGAUCCAGUCCCAUGAUUCGAAUUCCCGCGGUUAGCGCGCGCGCCUGAAGGUCGGCGCUUGCGUCGUCUUUGGCACUGCGCGGGCGCGUGCAGUCGAUGUGAGCGGGCACUGGGGACAUGACCGUGUUAUGGAUUACCAAUGCGUCGUCGUGUACACGGUCAUCAACAUCGCACCGCCGAAACUCGCGUCCCAAGCGGCGGACUUUUCGAAUGGUUGCGUCGACUGGAUUAAGAAUAAAAUUAAAAGAGCGGUAGCAGUAUAUCUCCAAUCGCUGAAGCUUACUCCAAACAAUGGGAUUAUACACGGGAAUUUGGCAUGUUUGUAUUACAAACAAGGUUUCAUAGACUUAGCCAUAGACACAUACAGGCGAGCUAUUGAAUUACAUCCCAAUUUCCCUGACGCUUACUGCAAUCUUGCCAACGCCCUCAAAGAGAAAGGCCUCGUUAAUGAAGCGGAAGAAUGCUACAGCAAAGCAUUAUAUUUGUGCCCUUCGCAUGUCGAUUCACUUAAUAACCUCGGAAACGUUAAAAGAGAACUGGGGAAAAUUGAAGAAGCCACUGAGCUGUACAUGAAAGCUUUGGAGGUCUUCCCUAAUUUUGCUGUCACUCACAGCAACUUAGCAUCUUUAUUGCAACAACAAGGAAAAUACCAUGAAGCGCUUAUGCAUUAUGAACAAGCAAUUAACAUUCAACCAAAGUUCGCGGAUGCCUACAGCAAUAUGGGGAACACAUUAAGGGAGUUACAAGAUAUAUCGGGGGCUUUAAAAUGUUUUAAAAAAGCGAUUGAAAUAAAUCCCUCAUUUGCCGACGCCCAUUGCAAUCUAGCUAGCAUUUACAAAGAUACGGGUAAUAUUACUGAAGCGAUUGAAGCAUAUAAAAAGGCUCUUUCAUUAAGAGAUGAUUUUCCGGACGCUUAUUGUAAUUUAACACAUUGUUUGCAAAUUGUCUGUGAUUGGGAUGAUUACGAGGAACGUAUGAGUAAAAUUGUUUCUAUAGUCGAAGGUCAAUUAAAUAGUGAAAAAUUGUCAUCAGUCCAUCCUCAUCAUUCCAUUUUAUAUCCUUUAACUAAUAAGUGUAGAAGAGAAAUUGCAGCAAAACAUGCAUCAUUAUAUUUAGAAAAAGUUAAAGGAAUAAACAUAGAACACAAUACAAAUAGUAACGAGAGAAAAGGUCGAUUACGUAUUGGUUAUGUUAGUAGUGAUUUCGGAAAUCAUCCGACUUCGCAUUUGAUGCAAUCAGUACCCGGACUUCACGACCUAUCAAAAGUUGAAAUUUUUUGUUAUGCAUUAAAUGCAAACGAUGGCUCAACAUUCCGUAGUAAAGUAGUCAGAGAAUCUGAACAUUUUGUUGAUCUUUCUGAAGUAACCUGUAACACAGACGCUGUAAAUAGAAUAGUUAGUGAUGGUAUUAAUAUAUUGGUAAAUAUGAAUGGUUACACAAAAGGGUCCAGAAAUGAAAUAUUUGCUUUAAAACCAGCGCCUAUCCAAGUGAUGUGGCUUGGUUAUCCUGGUACGAGUGGUGCUACAUAUAUGGAUUAUAUAAUAUGUGAUAGAAUUUCGUGCCCGAUGCAAGCGGAGCGUGAUUUUAGUGAAAAGUUUGCUUACAUGCCGUUUACGUACUUUGUUGGGGAUCACAUGCAAAUGUUUCCUCAUUUACAAAAACGGUAUAGAUUAAGAAUUGAAAAUGAUGCACUGAGUGAAAAUGUAGCACUAUUAAAUUAUUUUGAGGAUUUAGAAAAAUAUUUCAGUAUUGAAACAAAUACAUUGAUAUUACAUUAUGAUGAUUUAAACCCAAUAGAAGUAUUAGAACAAGUCAUAAACAUUCCUAAAUAUGUGAUUGAAGAAACGAAGGAUUCAACCAAAAGACAAGUUUAUGUUGGUGAUAUACCGAUACAAAAUGGUCUUAGCAUAAUAUCUUGUGAUGAAAGAGUAGCGAAUGGAGAAGAAAUUUGUACAAAUAUCGUGAUAACAUCAAGAUCUCAGUAUGGUUUACCAGAUGAUGCAAUUGUUUAUUGCAAUUUUAAUCAGCUGUAUAAAGCAGAUCCAAAUGUAUUAAAAUCAUGGGUGAAUAUUUUAAAGAAAGUCCCGAAUAGUGUUCUUUGGCUAGUGAGCUUUCCGUUAGCAGGAGAACCUAAUAUACAUAAAUAUUCUCAGAACUUAGGUUUAGAACCUGGUCGAAUUAUAUUUUCAAAAAUUGCUAGUAAGGAGGAACAUGUCCGCCGAGGCCAAUUGGCCGACGUAUGUUUAGACACACCUCUAUGUAAUGGUCACACAACAACUAUGGAUAUAUUAUGGGCGGGCACUCCUGUUGUAACUCUCCCGGGGGACACUUUAGCGUCCAGAGUGGCCGCAUCUCAACUGAUAUCAUUGAAUUGUCCCGAACUAAUUGCUAGCGAUAGAAGCCAUUACGAGGAAAUUGCUGUUAAAAUAGGAUUAGACGCACAAUAUCGAAAAUACAUUCGAGCCAAAGUUUACAACGCACGAAUAGAGAGUCCUCUGUUCAACUGUAAAUAUUACACCGAAGGUUUAGAAGCACUUUACACUAGGAUGUGGGACCUUUAUGAAAAUGGUUAUAGCCCGGAUCAUAUAUCUGUGGUUAUGGAUUAAAUCUGGGUUUUUACCUAGUUUUUAUGGCGUUUACAGCAAAAAGUUUAGAAGUGACGUAGUGUUCGUCCACGUGGGUUAAAAUGAUAGUGAAAGUCACGAGACGCAUGUUUGCUAACCGCAGCCGUUAGAUGGCGCUUAGUCAGUUUAGAAUCCGAGUGACACGUCCGUCCGGAAGGAAGUCAAAAGGAAUUCUGGAUCAAUUAGAAGUAUUACACCAAUUUUAAAUGUAUAUAUGUCUUUAUGUGUGAAUUAAAUUCUUUGUGUGUU